CACCGCGGUUACACGAGUGACUCAAAUUAAUAUUCCACGGCGUUAAGGGUGAUUAGAAAAAUCUCGCUUCAAAUAAAGUUAAGACCUCAUCAAGCUGUCAUACGCACCCAUGCUUAAAAAUAUCAUUAACGAAAGUAACUUUAGUACAACAGAAUUUUUGACCUCACGACAGUUAAGGCCCAAACUAGGAUUAGAUACCCUACUAUGCUUAACUAUAAACAUUUAUAUUAAUUAACGUACCUUAAUAUACGCCAGAGUACUACAAGCGCUAGCUUAAAACCCAAAGGACUUGGCGGUGCUCCACACCCACCUAGAGGAGCCUGUUAUGUAACCGAUAAUCCGCGUUCAACCUCACCACUUCUUGCUUUUUCCGCCUAUAUACCGCCGUCGCCAGCUCACCUUGUGAAAGCACAACAGUAAGCAAAAUGGCCUUUCCCCAAUACGUCAGGUCGAGGUGUAGCGAAUGAAGUGGGAAGACAUGGGCUACAUUCUCUUCCCAGAGAACACGAACAGAAACAUGAAAAAUUUCUUAAAGGUGGAUUUAGCAGUAAGUAAAUUUUAGAACAUUUUACUGAAGCCGGCCCUGGAGCGCGCACACACCGCCCGUCACUCUCCUCGAAACGCCAAUAUUAACCUUUAUAAAAAGAAAGCACAACAAGAGGAGGCAAGUCGUAA
Molecule: ribosomal RNA, 675 nt
Filed under: Gymnura cf. poecilura EES-2018
Lineage: Eukaryota; Metazoa; Chordata; Chondrichthyes; Myliobatiformes; Gymnuridae
Description: partial 12S ribosomal RNA
Rfam family: Bacterial small subunit ribosomal RNA
Source: RNAcentral